UUGGGAUUCCCAUUACAAAGCAAAACCAUCAGGCUUUAAUCCUGGUUCUAACAGUCUUUUUCAGCAGCGUACUGGCACAAUGACGUUAGCUACAUUUAUCCACAUUGCAAAAUGGUGGUUUCAUUCGUGAACUCUUUUUCUUUUCUAACUGGACACUACAUACACGAUCUCCACCGUCCCUUCUUAUUACAUUCGUGUGUUAAUAUUGAUAAUAACUCAUCAGAUAAAAUAUCACAGUGAUGGUGGUGAAUACUGCGGAGACAGAGCUGAACGUGUCACUGUUCAUUAGGAGGAAUAGCGUUAGCACGGUCGGCUAAAGCUUCGACAAAAGAAAACUUAAACUGUGGACUGACGACGCUCUAAAAAAGCAGGGGCGCUUCCAAAGUACACUUAACCUCCAGUUUAUUGAACUUUUAGUUUGAACCUUUUCUACAUCGACCACAGGAGCUGAAACUUACAUUUCUACAUUGUUUUGACUGUGUUAACGUUUCAGCUGCGCUCCUUUGCCGAUUGCUAAGUAACAGACAUGACAGUUGAUUGUCGACUUCGACAUAGUAACCUAGGUCAAGAUUUCCUGUCUUGACAUAAGACGCGAUCUGAUGGGAGGUUUCUGUAAUACGGUCUCUGCCCUGGCAGCUCUACUGUAUUUCAGCACAUCGACCGUAGAUGUGAAGACCCUAACGCAGCCUGAUGAGCACAGAUACAGCCCACCUGCUCCUGCGGCCACUCCUGCAAGAGUUGCUGUUGAAGAGAGAAGAAUAAGCAGUAUUAACAUACUAAAGCCACCAAACGGGUUUUGGGCAGCAGGAGGCGGGCAUUAGUGCUAGAGAGUGCUGAUUGAUGGGCGAGCGGAGCAGCUCAUUGGCUGUUUGCAUUCACUGACGUCAUGGACAUACAUGAAGUGCUGUUACUACUAUAACUCGAGUUUAAAAGCUCUUAAAAAUAUAACAGCGGUGUUAAAAUGUUUUAUGCUGCUCUGUGUUCAGGAAA
This is a long non-coding RNA of Colossoma macropomum (tambaqui), 990 nucleotides long. RefSeq lists it as uncharacterized. The record is from RefSeq and is a predicted model, not a curated record. Lineage: Eukaryota; Metazoa; Chordata; Actinopteri; Characiformes; Serrasalmidae. The transcript has 3 exons.